RNAcentral lists this ribosomal RNA (253 nucleotides) under uncultured bacterium. RNAcentral's name for it is "partial 16S ribosomal RNA". It matches the Rfam family "Bacterial small subunit ribosomal RNA", at positions 524 to 776 of the family's 1533-position model. The record is from RNAcentral.
UACAGAGGUCCCAAGCGUUGUUCGGAUUUACUGGGCGUAAAGGGAGCGUAGGUGGCGGGCAAAGUCUAAUGUGAAAGCUCUGAGCUCAACUCAGAAAUGGCAUUGGAUACUGGCUUGCUUGAGGAUUGGAGGGGAGACUGGAAUUCUCGGUGUAGCAGUGAAAUGCGUAGAUAUCGAGAGGAACACCAGUGGCGAAGGCGAGUCUCUGGACAAUUCCUGACACUGAUGCUCGAAAGCUAGGGGAGCAAACGGG